GCUUCGAAACCUCGGCACGUCUCGUAGCAUCACUACUGAGGAGAGAGACUCGCACAGCGGUUAGUAAAACAUGCUGAGCGAGGAGUUCCCGCAGGGCCUUGACCUAACCAAGGCAAACUGGACCCUGCGUGUUGUCACUGACAAGAGCAAAACCGAGGGCAUCGAGGUGAAGAAAGACACGGAGAGAAUGGACCAGAUUAAAGCCAUUAAAAAGUCCUGGGAAACGGCUGAGCCAGGACGCGCUGCCAAGGUGUGUGGAGGCUGGUGGCAGGUGUGGUGCAUCAGCUAAUCAGCUGACUGUGCAGGAGGAAGUCGGCGUUUCAUUCACUCCGGCUCUCCCAUAAAACCCGACGCCACUCGUCCCUUGAUGCUGGACUAUCUUCUAUCCUCCAUGUUGACUUCUGCCUGCCUAUGGGUCUCUGAUCUUCCUGGUUCCAUCGUGGUUGCCUGUCUCUCGGUUCCUCUGUGGAUUCUGCUCCGUCUGAAGGAUUCACCUGUCACCUGCCCUCCCCUGAAAGAGCAUACUUACCGGAUCACCUGGAAAGCUCUGGGCUGUCGGAUGUCAUUCCACCUGCUCAGCCACACCCCCACUGCCUGGACUGCAGAGAGCCUGUCCUCUUCCAAUACUGGACAAUUCCCCUGUCGUUGCUUUAGAGUGUCGUCUCAAGUUUCUCAACCGAGUCCAGCAUAAAGCCACUGAUGGAGCUGCUGCCGACGAAAGCAAAGAACCGGCUGCAGAUCCAGAUACCUCUCUGUCCAUCUGAUCAGAAACUGAGUGACACCACCAGCUCCUGUCCUCACAUGGACUUCAGUCACCUCAUCAGACGCCAGAAGGAUUUGCCAGUGCUGAUGGACUCACAGAGGGAGCGCUUAGAAGAGAUCCAGGCCUACCGGCUGCUGCAAGGCAAUGUGCUGGAGCAACGUAAACAGCAAGCACUGAAGAGGAAGGAGCUAAUAAGACUUCAGAAGGAGAUGUAUGAGAACAUCAAGCACCGGGAUCAGAAAUUACUUGAUUCUUACAAAGCAUUUUGUAGCAGUCACAUGGUGGCCAUGAAAAAGGAAGAAGAGAAAGAAGCUCAGGAGGAGGCCGGAGCAGCAGAUUAGUAGGCUUUAAUGUGUGUUAAAGUGCAAUUUAUCUGCAGUUUAGUUUAGUGCUUAGAAUGGAUUGUGAUUUUAUGAUAUGCAUUGUGGACAAUAAAUAUUAACAUUUAUACA
This is a long non-coding RNA of Amphiprion ocellaris (clown anemonefish), 1215 nucleotides long. Lineage: Eukaryota; Metazoa; Chordata; Actinopteri; Pomacentridae. The record is from Ensembl.